CAUAUCACAUUUUAUUUCAACCAAGCAGGAUACACAUUGUUUCUUUAUUCCCAACGUAACUAAACCAAUUUUAAUGAAAAUAAAAGAAAGAAAGAAAUGUCCCUUAUCCCUUUUACAUCCUGCAUUAUACUGUUAACUGUAUGAAUCUAUCUCCUUCUAUAUACAGCUCGAAGGACUGAUUUUCAGUCCCAGUAGCUACUAACCAGUUGCUAACUCCUCUAGUGAAGAACGCCUAAUGCCCAGUUAGAGACUAUUACAGAGGUAUUCCAAGAAACAACAACAAAGAAAAAAAAAGUGAGCUUGGCGUACUUCAUGGCAAAAUGGUUAAAAGCAUGUAUCAUUUGAUUUGCUUUCCGCGCAUAUAGCUUGAUAUUAGUGCAGCUGUGCAGGACUUGGAGGCGCCAACUUGUGAAAAAAAAGUAUUGGCAGCUGCCAAGUGCAUUUGGAUUGGCAUGGAGAGUCGAAGAUCUCCUUCCUAUUCUGAACCAAAAUAGCUGUCUUGUACCGAUAGCCGGUCGAAGGCAUCAAAAUUUGCCUUUAGACCAACAAACUGGCUUCCAAGCUGUGCACACGCUGCAUCAGGCCAUCUACAUCCUUCCCUGGUGCGGAAAGGGCAGAGUGACUCACAGAUAUGGUUGCUUGGUGUUUCUGAAACCAAGCUGUCCUCAAUCGCGGUGAUGGAUACAGAGAAGUCGGAACUUUUUUCGUGCUGGGACUCAAAAUCUGUGUCUCUUCGAAAUGAAUAUGUCAGCCCCUCAGUUUUCUCCACCUGGCUUUCAUUCGUGCCGAAAUUAACCGUACAGCCCAACGAUCGCACUGCCUUUCUGAUGGCAACGCUCUCCCUUUGAGCACGUUGAGCCAUGGCCAAGGCUGAACUACUUGCACGCUUCUCCCUCUGUAAUUCUAAUUGCAUAGAUUCCAUCUUCGUUUUAAUAUCUUUUACCCUUGAUUCAGCUGUGUCCUUUGCCUUUACCUUCAUUGCUUCUGUGUACUUUUUAUUCAUGGCAUGCCAUUGAGAUUCAAGAUCACCACCUUGAGAUUCAAUGGGGCAUGUCCAUCUCAAAUAAAAUUGGGGCCAAAGGGUAGGAGCAAGUGCUGCAGCAGGUGGCACUAGGGGACCAUUAUGCUUUAAUGGAUCAUAGAAUGGAUUACGAUGCUUAUGGAAGCUGCCACCAGAAGCUCGGAGAUCAGCCAAGUACGUCCACAUGCAAUGGCAAGAGCUUACAGCACCAGAUUGCUCCCUUUCUCGCUCCCUAUUGCACAAGAAGUUCCCAAAGCGGCAUGACAACACACAAUCCAUAAAGUCAACAAGGAAUUUCUGCAGUGAAAAGCAGUUCAGUACUGUUUUAACACAGGGCGCCCAAGAAAGAAUAGAUUACCUGUAACAGUAUGGGUGAAGAGUUGUUUGAUGUCUGGGAUUGACCAGAAGUAGUAUUAGACGUUGACACUGAUGAUCCUAAAGCACCUCUGUUUGGUGAAUUGCUCAAAGUCCCAAGAGAAGGUUGUCUUAGCAGCUCAAACUGUGAUCCACUAUUAUUAUCAGUUAUCGUUGGAACUCCCAUUCGCUCUGCAAAUGGAUGGCCAAAUGCUAGCCAAUCCUUUUCCACAAGGGCCUGGAACCCAUUGAACGUUCUAUAAUAUGGAUCAAGCAACAAACAAGCAAGUGCAACCAACUGAGUUGUGCGGUCCCAACCAUCACUGCAAUGGACGAGAACAGAAGCUGAUUCUUGGACAAUUUGUGCAGCAAUCCACGAAGCACCGACCAUGAUACUCUGGAUAUGGUUUAGCCACUCCCCUAACAUUGAAGAAAAUUGUGUCAUGCUAUUCAGAUUCCCUCCACCCCAGGUUGAUCCACGAUUUCUCUGCUUACCCGGUCUCCAACAAGAGAUACAGCUGAUGAUGUUCCAUUUGAUGAUACUGAUCCAUGGGUAUCAACAUAGUCCCUAAGGCGAAAAAGACUAUCUCUCAUUGUGUGGAUAUUUUGUAUUCCUAAAAAGAGAACCUGAUCUUGGGUAGUUUGAUGCUGACUCUGAGCCACCUCCCUUUGCACCAUUUGCUAAAGCAUUUGCUCUUGGCCGGGCAUCAACUAUAUAUAACUUCCUAGACCCAGUGGCAUCAAUAAUUUGGGUGCAAAGAGCAGAAACAAGCUUCUCAUCGAUGGAUAUGGUCUCACUUCCGAAAAUUCAUCAUCAAUCCUACCAAUGGCUGAGAUGACCUUGCCAGAACAGCUCCAGACCCUGGUCACACCACGAAAUAACAGGCAAGCGUCUGCCGGAUCGGAAAGAAGAAGCUUGCAAUAAAUCUUCAUCACUUAUGCUCCUUGGCACAAUCAAUGCAGAUGGGUACGUCGAACAUAGUGAGUAGGUGGAAUUUACUUUACUUACCCUCCACCAUUCAUUACGCAAGUCUUUUUCGAACUCGGAUCCACUAUGCGGGAACCAUUUCCUAAAAAGGCGAUGGUAUUCCUUCAAGAGCCGCAUCUUUGGAUCAGAUUUCUGAUAAACAGUGGAGGGAUCACAAGAAAAUGCAUAUAGAUCCCACAGAUGAGUAGGUUUGCUAUAUCUUCUCAAAGCAUCAAACACUUCGUUUUUCUGAAAAGAUAACUGACUUACAAAGUAAAAAAAGAAAAAAAUAUAUUACCGAUGACUUGAAGAAGUUCACGGGGCUGCUUCUUAUCAUGCUGGCGGGGCAAGGGUUGAAGCUUUACACUUACAUCAUUUAUCUUCUCAAUUGCAGUUAGUGGGAUGGUACCCAACUCUAUAACGCCUUUUGUGGCUUGGCUCUGUAAAAGGGUCGGAAAUUUGUCACUGAAAGAAUGCCAGCCUCAUCUGUGUUUAGUAGAACAACACCAUGACCCUGGGCGUAAACCUCCUCAUCCUCGAGGAGGAAGUCCUCCAUGCCCCGGGACGAACUCCGCGGCGGCCUCGGCUCCUUGAUUUGGUUCCAGUCUAUGGCGUCCCAGCUGCCGGAGCCGUCCAUCUCCGGCGGCGGCGGCGGCGGCGGCGGUGGCGCCCGCGGCUUCGCGGCGUCGCGGGCGACAGAGAGGGAGGG
This 3051-nucleotide small RNA is filed under the name Oryza sativa Japonica Group (Japanese rice). RNAcentral's name for it is "sRNA Os08g0556650". The record is from RNAcentral. Lineage: Eukaryota; Viridiplantae; Streptophyta; Magnoliopsida; Poales; Poaceae.